UUUCUCCACUGUUUUCGUCUUCCCCCUUUCUUCUCACAAAAAUCUCUCCGAAGAACCCUAAUCCUCCCUUCUGAAUCCUAACCCCCUUUCUUCUGAUUUCCCUACGAGAAUCUUAACUCACGAAAAUCUCUCCGAAGAACCCUAAUCCUCCCUUCUGAAUCCAAAUCCCCUUUCUUCUGAUUUCGCUACGAGAAUCUUAACUCACAAAAAUCUCUCAGAAGAACCCUAAUUCUCCCUUCUGAAUCCUAACCCCCUUUCUUCUAAUUUCGCUACGAGAAUCUUAACUCACGAAAAUCUUAACUAAUCCAUUAUUCAAGCUUCUUCUAUCGUAGUUUUUCUUCUCCAUUGAAUCACGUUUUUCAGGUUGAAGUGCUGGGAUUAAUGUUGCAGAACUUGGACAUGGAAUUGAUGUUGUUAGUUUAGUUAAAGGGGCUGGUAAGUAUAAAUUAUUCUGUAUGCUAAUUCAUGAACCACUGCUGGACUGUGAUAAUUUAGGGUGAGCAAUUAGGAUACUCAUCAUCACUGCUGGACUGUGAUAAUUUAGGGUGAGCAAUUAGGAUACUCAUCAUUGAAGUGUUGCAUAGAAUGAGACUGUUUUUGUGCAAAUGUAUGUAUGCUUUUGGUCAUGUACUUGAAUUUGAAUGAAUAGGUUAAGAUAAUGUAUGUACAGUGAGUGAAUGUGUAUUUGCAGAUUUUUUGGUGUUGAAUUAGUUUGAAAUGAAUGACUUAGAGGGUUAGUAAACUGCGGACCGUUAAGGAAUUGAAAAACAGUUAGAGGGCUGGCUAUUAAAUGAAGUUAGAUUAGUAGGAGAAAGCCAGUUAGCAACUGUUAGUGUAGAAAUUAAUUGGAAUGAGGUUAACUAUGAAUUGAUUAUACAAAUAGUUAAUGUUGGAUUAUGAUUGAUGUGUAUGGUUUUGAAAUGUAUGCUGCACUGGUUUUUUUUCUGGUAGUGUAAAUGCAGACCAUGAUUGAAUGCUAGGUUGUUAAUCUUAGAUAGCGGCGCGUAGCGCCAGACCUCCCAAAUGCUAUUGCGGCAUAGCAGAUAGCGGCGCGUAGCACUAUUGCCAGGGUGCACUAGUUGGUUCAUACAAGGGUAACUGUCAUUUAUAUAAUACAUCCGAAAAUAAGUUGCAACAGAAAAGUCAGAUCAAUUUGCAGAACAAAAAAAAGAAAUCAAAUCACAAGAAAAUUACUGGUUUCUAGGUAAUUUAAUGAUUUAAUGCCUUACUAUUGUACCUAAGUUAUGAUGCUCUUAUGAUUGUCUUUGUAUUUGGAUUUUAUGAACAGUUUGCCCCCUGGUAGUUCAUCGGAAGUACUUAUCACUUCUGCUGAUUCUCGAAUUCGGGUUGUUGAUGGUAUUGAUCUGGUUCAUAAGUUUAAAGGUGCGUAGCACUAGCUAAGGUCAAGUCAUAUUUAUUUAAAUAAAUUGCUUUCAUUUGCAUGAUAAAUAGUGUUUGAUUAUAUGGUCAAAGCAUUGCUUUUACAACUGUUUUGGUGGUGCAUGCUUGCUACCUCUGCAGGUCUAUAGUAUAUAUUUAUUGCGGCAUAGCAGAUAGCUUUGUUUUGUUUCCAUUAGAUUUAAACUAGUACAUACUUCUAAAAGAAUUUAAAAAUCCGUCCAUGGUCCUUUACCGCAAAAAUGAUCGCGGGAUUGAAUGAUACAUCCAUUUACCGUUUUUUUGAUAAAGAACAAUGCGUAGUUAAUUCAUAUCGCAACAAUUUUACGUGACCUCAAAAUGGCAAAAGGAUGAGGCUAUAUGCAUCAUUGUAUUUCCAUAGUUACACUAAAUCUCAAACAUUUGUUUAAAACUAGUUGACAUGUUUAUUUCUAUAUUUAGGAACUAAUAUUUCUAAAUAUAACGAUAUGUUCAUGUUCACUUCAUAUCAAAUCAAAUAUUAAUUGAAUCAAGUAAGAAGAGUGAACUAAAGAAAAAACUUGUCUUAUUAUAUGGGAUACUUGAAUUGAAUUGAAUUGGUGAUUUUUAGAAAACAGGUCUACUUGUAAGAGUUAAGACACAUCCUUUUGUAGGUCUCUUUGAAUAAACAUAUCCUAUAAUUGAAAAAUGGUCAUAUGCAUAAUUAAACAUGAUAUCUAAAAUAGAUGACACUUUCACCCUUUUCCAAUUUCAUCAACUUUACACUUUCACCUUCUAAUUCAAAGACUGAUUUUAGAGUAAAUAUCUACUUUUAUUAUAACAAUUUAUAAAAUUUAAUUUUGGAUUAACAUGUUUCAAAUUUGCGAUUUUUACAUGUUGAGGUUUAUGAAAUAAAUUCUUCUUAUCGAUCGAAUAGAGAUUCCACCUAAGUACUUUGAUGAAUUCAAGUGUGCUUAUUACUCAAGUUUUCAGUUGGAUGAACUUAAGGAGGAUUGGUGUAAAUUCAUGAUUGAGUCGAAAGUUAUAUAAGGUUAUAUGUCCAGAUGUAGAAGAUAGAGAUGAAUAGAUUCUGUAAUGGUAUAAUGGUGCAAACAAAAUUUGGCAUAUCUUUUGGUGUUGUUUUUUGUAAUGGUAUAAUGGUGCAAACAAAAUGUGGCAUAUCUUUUGGUGUUGUUUUUUUUGUAAAAGUAUAUGUACAAGAGUAAUAGUAUAUAUAAAUACAU
Molecule: long non-coding RNA, 2600 nt
Organism: Vicia villosa (hairy vetch)
Lineage: Eukaryota; Viridiplantae; Streptophyta; Magnoliopsida; Fabales; Fabaceae
Exons: 6
Source: RefSeq, a predicted model, not a curated record